AAAAGAAAAAGGAAAAAAGGGGGAGAAGAGAGAAGAGGAGGCAAUCGCAGUUGGUCGAGGAUUUAAGAAAAAGCCGAAGGAGGAGGAGACGAGAAGAGGGAGGAGGAGGCAGUUGACCGACGAUUAAGGAUUGAGUGAGUUGGGGCUGUGUUGAGGACAAAGGAAACAGGAGGUAUGGUAGCUUCAAAUUUUAAUCAAUGAAAUGGAAAUUAUAAUUAAAUUUCAAUCCUGGAAAUGUAUACUCGUGUGUUAGGUGAGAGGGAUUGGGUCAUAGAGAGGAUUGAGAGCUGUAAAAGAGAAAUGAUUCUCCUAGGAGAGUAGAUCAAAAAAUGAAAAGGGAGUGGGAAGUUUGGUAGGCAAAAGCAGGAGAGUUUUGCGUAGAAGGUCCGAACGGGAAUUGCGAAUAAAUAACUCUGUAUAGUUAUAUAUAUAUAAAUAUAUAUUUAUAUUUAUAUAUAUAUAGAGCAGAAUAUUAUCAGCGGAAGAGGGAGUCAAAGGGAUGUAGGAACUAUGCAAGAAAAUAUAUAAAUGUGUAGGGCAUACGGGACAAUCGCCAAAAAGAGGGGAAGCUUAGAGGCCGCUGAGGUUAGGCUGUGAAGGGACUUGUGAACAAGAUUGUGACAGUGGAAGCAGUCUGAGAGGGAUGAAGAAAUGAGAGAGAGAGUCAGCAGUGCGAGGGAGUGGCCUGAGAAGGACACUUGAGGAAGAGGAGAGAAAGAGAUACCAGUGAGGGGGAGUGGUCUGCUGAGGUAUUAUCGGGUGAGAUGAGAGGGAGAGAUAAAAAUGAGAAAAAGAUAGAAACAGUGAGUGAGGGCGUGAUGAAAACGUGCAUUAACAGUGUGUGUGUGCGUUGUGAGAAAAGUGUAGUGAGUAUGUGUAGGAAUUUGGUUGGUGGAACAUGUGUGUGGACAGUGAAAUGAACUAGUUUAUGUAUUUAUUUGGUUGGUGGAACAUGAGUGUGGACAGUGAAAUGAACUAGUUUAUGUAUUUAUUGAGUA
This 998-nucleotide long non-coding RNA is filed under the name Carica papaya (papaya). RNAcentral's name for it is "long non-coding RNA (CPAP_LNC011675)". Lineage: Eukaryota; Viridiplantae; Streptophyta; Magnoliopsida; Brassicales; Caricaceae. The record is from RNAcentral.